Molecule: long non-coding RNA, 1080 nt
Filed under: Gadus morhua (Atlantic cod)
Lineage: Eukaryota; Metazoa; Chordata; Actinopteri; Gadiformes; Gadidae
Description: lncRNA (ENSGMOG00000036008.1)
Source: RNAcentral
CGUUUUUAUUUGCAGGCUGUUAUAUGCUACUGAAUCAACCAGAUGGCAAAGCAAACUAAUGUUAUAAGCAGGUAUUCUAAGGUCCCGAAGCAGCAGGGGGCGACCGGGUGCCUAUUUGGGAUCCGGCGCUCCUCCAGGAUCGGCCGGAUGAUCCACAGCUACCUGCGUCUGAUCCCCGGCGUGGCCAACGACCCUGAGGGCAUGGCCGAGACCACAGAGCUCUACGACAACUGGCUGAAGCUGGAGCUGAUCGACCACUACGAGAGGAUGACCAACAAGAAGAGGAUGGGCUCCGAGGCCAUGAGGCAGUGGCUUGCUGGCGCCGCCGUCCACAUGCACAUGAGGAUCCACCAGGUGAGACUGAAAUCGGUGCCUCUUGGCUCGGCCGAGUCCCUGCGCCUCUCUUACAGGACGGCUUUCGCCCAGCUGGUGCAGGACUACGCAUCCUACCUCCGCCGAAACAUCCGGGAAACCCCGCCUUCAGGCACAUACAAACCCAACGCGGCCCAGCCAGGCGAGCGAACACCGGCGGCUACGACGUUCCAGCGCCUCACCGACCACGGGACCCGGAAGGAACCGAGUGAGACAGAGGGAGCAGGGGUAGCCGUCUGCGUGGGGGCGACGAUGGGUAACGUCAGCCUGGCCUGCCCAAUGAAUGACCUCAACGGGACCGGCCCCGACGGGCAUAACUCAACCACCGCAGCGAACCAAGCGGCAGCUUUUAGCGGAGGAUCCAAUGAGGUUACGGGGCAAACAGGUCCAAAACAGAUGGAUAAUAAUAAUGACGUGGGCCCUGAAAGAGGUGCAGCCAGUGUGUUGAGUGGUGUUGGCGGGGCUGCGCAGCCAACAGCCAGUGACGGUCUGUUAGUCAUUGAAGCCAUGAGGAACGUGAGUCAUGGUGUACGGCAUCGGGCCUGUGAGUCUCCAGUCAUAGAGCAAGCCCUGGCCACCCUCAUUUCAGAGGCGCAGGACCUGGAAGAGAGCAGGGACUUUUUCCUGUACCCCCGGCCACUGCUUGACAAUCUGCUCGGCCAGAGAGCUGACUUUGACUUGAAGAUAAGAUGGCGGAAAACUAUUUGA